GAUGAAGAACGUAGCGAAAUGCGAUAACUAAUGUGAAUUGCAGAAUUCAGUGAAUCAUCGAGUCUUUGAACGCACAUUGCGCCCCCUGGUAUUCCGGGGGGCAUGCCUGUCCGAGCGUCAUUGCUGCCCUCAAGCACGGCUUGUGUGUUGGGCUCCGCCCCCCCGGGGACGGGCCCGAAAGGCAGCGGCGGCACCGAGUCCGGUCCUCGAGCGUAUGGGGCUUUGUCACCCGCUCUGUAGGCCCGGCCGGCGCCAGCCGACAACCCAUCAUCCUUUUCAGGUUGACCUCGGAUCAGGUAGGGAUACCCGCUGAACUUAAGCAUAUCAAUAAGCGGAGGA
This 339-nucleotide unclassified non-coding RNA is filed under the name soil metagenome. Its description in RNAcentral is "partial contains 5.8S ribosomal RNA, internal transcribed spacer 2, and large subunit ribosomal RNA". The stretch from base 1 to 120 matches the Rfam family "5.8S ribosomal RNA", at positions 35 to 154 of the family's 154-position model. The record is from RNAcentral.